This 407-nucleotide ribosomal RNA is filed under the name uncultured bacterium. Its description in RNAcentral is "bacterial SSU rRNA". It matches the Rfam family "Bacterial small subunit ribosomal RNA", at positions 355 to 776 of the family's 1533-position model. The record is from RNAcentral.
CAAGGAAUCUUGCGCAAUGGGCUAUAAGGCCUGACGCAGCGACACCGCGUGGGGGAAGAAGGCUUUCGAGUUGUAAACCCCUUUUCUUGGGGAAGAGUAAGGACGGUACCCGAGGAAUAAGCCUCGGCUAACUACGUGCCAGCAGCCGCGGUAAUACGUAGGAGGCGAGCGUUGUCCGGAUUUACUGGGCGUAAAGGGCGAGUAGGCGGUCCAUUAAGUCUUAUGUGAAAUCUCCCGGCUCAACUGGGAGGGGUCAUGGGAAACUGGUGGGCUUGAGGGCAGCAGAGGAAAGCGGAAUUCCCGGAGUAGCGGUGGAAUGCGUAGAUACCGGGAAGAACACCAGAGGCGAAGGCGGCUUUCUGGGCUGUUCCUGACGCUGAGGCGCGAAAGCAUGGGGAGCGAACCGG